RNAcentral lists this ribosomal RNA (806 nucleotides) under uncultured beta proteobacterium. Its description in RNAcentral is "bacterial SSU rRNA". It matches the Rfam family "Bacterial small subunit ribosomal RNA", at positions 613 to 1420 of the family's 1533-position model. The record is from RNAcentral. Lineage: Bacteria; Pseudomonadati; Pseudomonadota; Betaproteobacteria.
CCUGGGAAUGGCGUUUUGAACUGGCAGUCUAGAGUGCGUCAGAGGGGGGUGGAAUUCCACGUGUAGCAGUGAAAUGCGUAGAGAUGUGGAGGAACACCGAUGGCGAAGGCAGCCCCCUGGGAUGACACUGACGCUCAUGUACGAAAGCGUGGGUAGCAAACAGGAUUAGAUACCCUGGUAGUCCACGCCCUAAACGAUGUCAACUGGUUGUUGGGGGAGUGAAAUCCCUUUAGUAACGAAGCUAACGCGUGAAGUUGACCGCCUGGGGAGUACGGUCGCAAGAUUAAAACUCAAAGGAAUUGACGGGGACCCGCACAAGCGGUGGAUGAUGUGGAUUAAUUCGAUGCAACGCGAAAAACCUUACCUACCCUUGACAUGUCCGGAAUCCUGCAGAGAUGCGGGAGUGCCCGAAAGGGAAUCGGAACACAGGUGCUGCAUGGCUGUCGUCAGCUCGUGUCGCGAGAUGUUGGGUUAAGUCCCGCAUCGAGCGCAACCCUUAUCAUUAGUUGCUACGCAAGGGCACUCUAAUGAGACUGCCGGUGACAAACCGGAGGAAGGUGGGGAUGACGUCAAGUCCUCAUUGCCCUUAUGGGUAGGGCUUCACACGUCAUACAAUGGUCGGUACAGAGGGUUGCCAAGCCGCGAGGUGGAGCCAAUCCCAGAAAGCCGAUCGUAGUCCGGAUUGUUCUCUGCAACUCGAGAGCAUGAAGUCGGAAUCGCUAGUAAUCGCGGAUCAGCAUGUCGCGGUGAAUACGUUCCCGGGUCUUGUACACACCGCCCGUCCCCCCCAUGGGAACUGGAGAGAG